RNAcentral lists this ribosomal RNA (465 nucleotides) under Vreelandella stevensii. RNAcentral describes it as "partial 16S ribosomal RNA". It matches the Rfam family "Bacterial small subunit ribosomal RNA", at positions 338 to 795 of the family's 1533-position model. Lineage: Bacteria; Pseudomonadati; Pseudomonadota; Gammaproteobacteria; Oceanospirillales; Halomonadaceae. The record is from RNAcentral.
CCUACGGGGGGCAGCAGUGGGGAGUAUUGGACAAUGGGGGGAACCCUGAUCCAGCCAUGCCGCGUGUGUGAAGAAGGCCCUCGGGUUGUAAAGCACUUUCAGUGAGGAAGAACGCCUGGUGGUUAAUACCCAUCAGGAAAGACAUCACUCACAGAAGAAGCACCGGCUAACUCCGUGCCAGCAGCCGCGGUAAUACGGAGGGUGCGAGCGUUAAUCGGAAUUACUGGGCGUAAAGCGCGCGUAGGUGGCUUGAUAAGCCGGUUGUGAAAGCCCCGGGCUCAACCUGGGAACGGCAUCCGGAACUGUCAAGCUAGAGUGCAGGAGAGGAAGGUAGAAUUCCCGGUGUAGCGGUGAAAUGCGUAGAGAUCGGGAGGAAUACCAGUGGCGAAGGCGGCCUUCUGGACUGACACUGACACUGAGGUGCGAAAGCGUGGGUAGCAAACAGGAUUAGAUACCCUGGUAGUC